This 1503-nucleotide ribosomal RNA is filed under the name uncultured bacterium. RNAcentral describes it as "bacterial SSU rRNA". It matches the Rfam family "Bacterial small subunit ribosomal RNA". The record is from RNAcentral.
UUAGAGUUUGAUCCUGGCUCAGAUUGAACGCUGGCGGCAGGCCUAACACAUGCAAGUCGAGCGGUAGAGAGAAGCUUGCUUCUCUUGAGAGCGGCGGACGGGUGAGUAAUGCCUAGGAAUCUGCCUGGUAGUGGGGGAUAACGUUCGGAAACGGACGCUAAUACCGCAUACGUCCUACGGGAGAAAGCAGGGGACCUUCGGGCCUUGCGCUAUCAGAUGAGCCUAGGUCGGAUUAGCUAGUUGGUGGGGUAAUGGCUCACCAAGGCGACGAUCCGUAACUGGUCUGAGAGGAUGAUCAGUCACACUGGAACUGAGACACGGUCCAGACUCCUACGGGAGGCAGCAGUGGGGAAUAUUGGACAAUGGGCGAAAGCCUGAUCCAGCCAUGCCGCGUGUGUGAAGAAGGUCUUCGGAUUGUAAAGCACUUUAAGUUGGGAGGAAGGGUUGUAGAUUAAUACUCUGCAAUUUUGACGUUACCGACAGAAUAAGCACCGGCUAACUCUGUGCCAGCAGCCGCGGUAAUACAGAGGGUGCAAGCGUUAAUCGGAAUUACUGGGCGUAAAGCGCGCGUAGGUGGUUAGUUAAGUUGGAUGUGAAAUCCCCGGGCUCAACCUGGGAACUGCAUUCAAAACUGACUGACUAGAGUAUGGUAGAGGGUGGUGGAAUUUCCUGUGUAGCGGUGAAAUGCGUAGAUAUAGGAAGGAACACCAGUGGCGAAGGCGACCACCUGGACUGAUACUGACACUGAGGUGCGAAAGCGUGGGGAGCAAACAGGAUUAGAUACCCUGGUAGUCCACGCCGUAAACGAUGUCAACUAGCCGUUGGGAGCCUUGAGCUCUUAGUGGCGCAGCUAACGCAUUAAGUUGACCGCCUGGGGAGUACGGCCGCAAGGUUAAAACUCAAAUGAAUUGACGGGGGCCCGCACAAGCGGUGGAGCAUGUGGUUUAAUUCGAAGCAACGCGAAGAACCUUACCAGGCCUUGACAUCCAAUGAACUUUCUAGAGAUAGAUUGGUGCCUUCGGGAACAUUGAGACAGGUGCUGCAUGGCUGUCGACAGCUCGUGUCGUGAGAUGUUGGGUUAAGUCCCGUAACGAGCGCAACCCUUGUCCUUAGUUACCAGCACGUAAUGGUGGGCACUCUAAGGAGACUGCCGGUGACAAACCGGAGGAAGGUGGGGAUGACGUCAAGUCAUCAUGGCCCUUACGGCCUGGGCUACACACGUGCUACAAUGGUCGGUACAGAGGGUUGCCAAGCCGCGAGGUGGAGCUAAUCCCACAAAGCCGAUCGUAGUCCGGAUCGCAGUCUGCAACUCGACUGCGUGAAGUCGGAAUCGCUAGUAAUCGCGAAUCAGAAUGUCGCGGUGAAUACGUUCCCGGGCCUUGUACACACCGCCCGUCACACCAUGGGAGUGGGUUGCACCAGAAGUAGCUAGUCUAACCUUCGGGAGGACGGUUACCACGGUGUGAUUCAUGACUGGGGUGAAGUCGUAACAAGGUAACCAAU